Molecule: unclassified non-coding RNA, 342 nt
Filed under: soil metagenome
Description: partial contains 5.8S ribosomal RNA, internal transcribed spacer 2, and large subunit ribosomal RNA
Rfam family: 5.8S ribosomal RNA (bases 1-120)
Source: RNAcentral
GAUGAAGAACGUAGUGAAAUGCGAUAAGUAAUGUGAAUUGCAGAAUUCAGUGAAUCAUCGAAUCUUUGAACGCACAUUGCGCCCGCCAGCACUCUGGCGGGCAUGCCUGUUCGAGCGUCAUUUCAACCAUCAAGCCCCCAGGGGCUUGUGCUGGGGCCCUGCGGCUGCCCGCAGGCCCUGAAAACCAGUGGCGGGCUCGCUAGUCACACCGAGCGCAGUAGCACAUCUCGCUCAGGGCGUGCGGCGGGCUCCUGCCGUGAAACCCCCCACUGUAACCCCAAAGGUUGACCUCGGAUCAGGUAGGAAUACCCGCUGAACUUAAGCAAAUCAAUAAGCGGAGGA